UGAGCCAAGUUUAGGGUUUUCUCAAAACCCAAGCAGUAUUGAACUGAAGAGUUUGAUCAUGGCUCAGAUUGAACGCUGGCGGCAGGCCUAACACAUGCAAGUCGAGCGGAUGAAGGGAGCUUGCUCCUGGAUUCAGCGGCGGACGGGUGAGUAAUGCCUAGGAAUCUGCCUGGUAGUGGGGGAUAACGUCCGGAAACGGGCGCUAAUACCGCAUACGUCCUGAGG
RNAcentral lists this ribosomal RNA (225 nucleotides) under Pseudomonas aeruginosa. RNAcentral's name for it is "partial 16S ribosomal RNA". The stretch from base 41 to 225 matches the Rfam family "Bacterial small subunit ribosomal RNA", at positions 1 to 185 of the family's 1533-position model. The record is from RNAcentral. Lineage: Bacteria; Pseudomonadati; Pseudomonadota; Gammaproteobacteria; Pseudomonadales; Pseudomonadaceae.